Molecule: ribosomal RNA, 492 nt
Filed under: uncultured bacterium
Lineage: Bacteria
Description: partial 16S ribosomal RNA
Rfam family: Bacterial small subunit ribosomal RNA
Source: RNAcentral
AGUGAACGCUGGCGGUAGGCCUAACACAUGCAAGUCGAACGGCAGCACAGUAAGAGCUUGCUCUUACGGGUGGCGAGUGGCGGACGGGUGAGGGAUACAUCGGAAUCUACUUUUUCGUGGGGGAUAACGUAGGGAAACUUACGCUAAUACCGCAUACGACCUACGGGUGAAAGCAGGGGAUCUUCGGACCUUGCGCGAUUGAAUGAGCCGAUGUCGGAUUAGCUAGUUGGCGGGGUAAAGGCCCACCAAGGCGACGAUCCGUAGCUGGUCUGAGAGGAUGAUCAGCCACACUGGAACUGAGACAAGGUCCAGACUCCUACGGGAGGCAGCAGUGGGGAAUAUUGGACAAUGGGCGCAAGCCUGAUCCAGCCAUACCGCGUGGGUGAAGAAGGCCUUCGGGUUGUAAAGCCCUUUUGUUGGGAAAGAAAAGCAGCAGGUUAAUACCCCGCUGUUCUGACGGUACCCAAAGAAUAAGCACCGGCUAACUUCGUG